RNAcentral lists this ribosomal RNA (375 nucleotides) under uncultured bacterium. RNAcentral describes it as "bacterial SSU rRNA". It matches the Rfam family "Bacterial small subunit ribosomal RNA", at positions 524 to 898 of the family's 1533-position model. The record is from RNAcentral.
GACGAACCGUGCGAACGUUGUUCGGAAUCACUGGGCUUAAAGGGCGCGUAGGCGGCCGGGUUGGUCGUGGGUGAAAUCCCCCAGCUUAACUGGGGAAUUGCCUACGAUACUGCCUGGCUCGAGGGAGGAAGGGGCGGCCGGAACUGUCGGUGGAGCGGUGAAAUGCGUUGAGAUCGACAGGAACGCCGGUGGCGAAAGCGGGCCGCUGGCCCUCUUCUGACGCUGAGGCGCGAAAGCCAGGGGAGCGAACGGGAUUAGAUACCCCGGUAGUCCUGGCCUUAAACGAUGGGCACUAGGUAGUGGGCUCGACCUGGGCGCACUGCCGCAGCGAAAGUCAUUAGUGCCCCGCCUGGGGAGUAUGGUCGCAAGGCUGAA